UACGUAGGGUGCAAGCGUUACUCGGAAUUACUGGGCGUAAAGCGUGCGCAGGCGGUUAUGUAAGGCAGAUGUGAAAUCCCCGGGCUCAACCUGGGAACUGCAUUUGUGACUGCAUAGCUAGAGUACGGUAGAGGGGGAUGGAAUUCCGCGUGUAGCAGUGAAAUGCGUAGAUAUGCGGAGGAACACCGAUGGCGAAGGCAAUCCCCUGGACCUGUACUGACGCUCAUGCACGAAAGCGUGGGGAGCAAACAGG
This 253-nucleotide ribosomal RNA is filed under the name uncultured bacterium. Its description in RNAcentral is "partial 16S ribosomal RNA". It matches the Rfam family "Bacterial small subunit ribosomal RNA", at positions 524 to 776 of the family's 1533-position model. The record is from RNAcentral.